AACGAACGCUGGCGGCGCGCCUAAUACAUGCAAGUCGAGCGAGAAGGUGUAGCAAUACACUUGUAAAGCGGCGAACGGGUGAGGAAUACAUGGGUAAUCUACCAUCGAGUGGGGAAUAACCAACCGAAAGGUUGGCUAAUACCGCGUACGCCUCCGAGUCUUCGGGUUCGGAGGGAAAGCUGCACUGUGAGUGUAGCGCUCUUUGAUGAGCUCAUGUCCUAUCAGCUUGUUGGUAGGUAACGGCCUACCAAGGCUUUGACGGGUAGCUGGUCUGAGAGGACGAUCAGCCACACUGGCACUGCGACACGGGCCAGACUCCUACGGGAGGCAGCAGUAAGGAAUAUUGCGCAAUGGGCGAAAGCCUGACGCAGCGACGCCGCGUGGGGGAUGAAGGUCUUCGGAUUGUAAACCCCUUUCGGGAGGGAAGAUGGAGCGAGCAAUCGUUCGGACGGUACCUCCAGAAGCAGCCACGGCCAACUUCGUGCCAGC
This 489-nucleotide ribosomal RNA is filed under the name uncultured bacterium. RNAcentral's name for it is "bacterial SSU rRNA". It matches the Rfam family "Bacterial small subunit ribosomal RNA", at positions 29 to 512 of the family's 1533-position model. The record is from RNAcentral.